This 1437-nucleotide ribosomal RNA is filed under the name uncultured organism. RNAcentral's name for it is "SSU rRNA". It matches the Rfam family "Bacterial small subunit ribosomal RNA". The record is from RNAcentral.
GGAUGAACGCUAGCUACAGGCUUAACACAUGCAAGUCGAGGGGCAGCAUGGUCUUAGCUUGCUAAGGCCGAUGGCGACCGGCGCACGGGUGAGUAACACGUAUCCAACCUGCCGUCUACUCUUGGACAGCCUUCUGAAAGGAAGAUUAAUACAAGAUGGCAUCAUGAGUCCGCAUGUUCACAUGAUUAAAGGUAUUCCGGUAGACGAUGGGGAUGCGUUCCAUUAGAUAGUAGGCGGGGUAACGGCCCACCUAGUCUUCGAUGGAUAGGGGUUCUGAGAGGAAGGUCCCCCACAUUGGAACUGAGACACGGUCCAAACUCCUACGGGAGGCAGCAGUGAGGAAUAUUGGUCAAUGGGCGAGAGCCUGAACCAGCCAAGUAGCGUGAAGGAUGACUGCCCUAUGGGUUGUAAACUUCUUUUAUAAAGGAAUAGAGUCGGGUAUGCAUACCCGUUUGCAUGUACUUUAUGAAUAAGGAUCGGCUAACUCCGUGCCAGCAGCCGCGGUAAUACGGAGGAUCCGAGCGUUAUCCGGAUUUAUUGGGUUUAAAGGGAGCGUAGAUGGAUGUUUAAGUCAGUUGUGAAAGUUUGCGGCUCAACCGUAAAAUUGCAGUUGAUACUGGAUAUCUUGAGUGCAGUUGAGGCAGGCGGAAUUCGUGGUGUAGCGGUGAAAUGCUUAGAUAUCACGAAGAACUCCGAUUGCGAAGGCAGCCUGCUAAGCUGCAACUGACAUUGAGGCUCGAAAGUGUGGGUAUCAAACAGGAUUAGAUACCCUGGUAGUCCACACGGUAAACGAUGAAUACUCGCUGUUUGCGAUAUACAGCAAGCGGCCAAGCGAAAGCGUUAAGUAUUCCACCUGGGGAGUACGCCGGCAACGGUGAAACUCAAAGGAAUUGACGGGGGCCCGCACAAGCGGAGGAACAUGUGGUUUAAUUCGAUGAUACGCGAGGAACCUUACCCGGGCUUAAAUUGCAGAUGAAUUACGGUGAAAGCCGUAAGCCGCAAGGCAUCUGUGAAGGUGUUGCAUGGUUGUCGUCAGCUCGUGCCGUGAGGUGUCGGAUUAAGUGCCAUAACGAGCGCAACCCUUGUUGUCAGUUACUAACAGGUUCCGCUGAGGACUCUGACAAGACUGCCAUCGUAAGAUGUGAGGAAGGUGGGGAUGACGUCAAAUCAGCACGGCCCUUACGUCCGGGGCUACACACGUGUUACAAUGGGGGGUACAGAGGGCCGCUACCACGCGAGUGGAUGCCAAUCCCAAAAACCUCUCUCAGUUCGGACUGGAGUCUGCAACCCGACUCCACGAAGCUGGAUUCGUUAGUAAUCGCGCAUCAGCCACGGCGCGGUGAAUACGUUCCCGGGCCUUGUACACACCGCCCGUCAAGCCAUGGGAGCCGGGGGUACCUGAAGUGCGUAACCGCGAGGAGCGCCCUAGGGUAAAAC